UUUUUAAACACAUAUACCCUUUGUGAUUAAAAAAUAUAUUUCUAAUUCAUUUAAGGGCAAAUCUCCAAAAUAGCAUCUUUCUAAGUUUAUAUCACAAAAAUAGCACUCAAAAACUAAAAUGACCAAAAUAGCACCUUUCUAAGUUUAUCAUUUGAAAAUUUUAAUUUUUUUAUUUUUCAAAAUUUAAAAUCUUAUCCCCAAAACCUCAUUUCUCAACUCUAAACCCUAAACCCUAAACUCUAAACCCUAAACCAUAAACUCUAAACCCUAAACCAUAAACCCUAAACUCUAAACCCUAAACCCUAAACCCUAAAAUCUAAACCCUAAACCCUAAACCCUAAACCCUAAAAUCUAAACCCUAAACCCUAAAAUCUAAACCCUAAACCUUAAACUCUAAACCCUAAACCCUAAACCCUAAAUCCUAAACUCCACCCUUUAACUCUAAACCCUAAGUUUGUGACUUUUGAUAAAACAUUAAGUGCUAUUUUUGUGACUUUUGACCUUGAAUACUAGUUUGGGAACAAAAACUUGAUUUAGUGCUAUUUUUAUCUUUUUCUCUUCAUUUAAAGGCAAAUCUCCAAAAUAACACAUUUCUAAGUUUAUAUCACAAAAAUAGCACUCAAAAACUAAAAUGACCAAAAUAGCACAUUUCUAAGUUUAUCCAUUGAAAAUUUUAAUUUUUUUAUUUUUCAAAAUUUGAAAUCUUAUCCCCAAAACCUCAUUUCUCAACUCUAAACCCUAAACCCUAAACUCUAAACCCUAAACCCUAAACCCUAAACCCUAAAACCUAAACCAUAAACUCUAAACCCUAAACCCUAAACUCUAAACCCUAAACUCUAAACCCUAAACCCUAAACCCUAAAUUCUAA
This 868-nucleotide long non-coding RNA is filed under the name Brassica napus (rape). RNAcentral's name for it is "long non-coding RNA (BNAP_LNC014276)". Lineage: Eukaryota; Viridiplantae; Streptophyta; Magnoliopsida; Brassicales; Brassicaceae. The record is from RNAcentral.